GAUGAACGCUGGCGGCGUGCCUAAUACAUGCAAGUCGAGCGAACAGACGAGGAGCUUGCUCCUCUGACGUUAGCGGCGGACGGGUGAGUAACACGUGGAUAACCUACCUAUAAGACUGGGAUAACUUCGGGAAACCGGAGCUAAUACCGGAUAAUAUAUUGAACCGCAUGGUUCAAUAGUGAAAGACGGUUUUGCUGUCACUUAUAGAUGGAUCCGCGCCGCAUUAACUAGUUGGUAAGGUAACGGCUUACCAAGGCAACGAUGCGUAGCCGACCUGAGAGGGUGAUCGGCCACACUGGAACUGAGACACGGUCCCGACUCCUACGGGAGGCAGCAGUAGGGAAUCUUCCGCAAUGGGCGAAAGCCUGACGGAGCAACGCCGCGUGAGUGAUGAAGGUCUUCGGAUCAUAAAACUCUGUUAUUAGGGAAGAACAAAUGUGUAAGUAACUAUGCACGUCUUGGCGGUACCUAAUCAGAAAGCCACGGCUAACUACGUGCCAGCCGCCGCGGUAA
This 513-nucleotide ribosomal RNA is filed under the name uncultured bacterium. RNAcentral describes it as "partial 16S ribosomal RNA". It matches the Rfam family "Bacterial small subunit ribosomal RNA", at positions 28 to 523 of the family's 1533-position model. The record is from RNAcentral.